AUUGAAGAGUUUGAUCAUGGCUCAGAUUGAACGCUGGCGGCAGGCCUAACACAUGCAAGUCGAACGGUAACAGGAAGCAGCUUGCUGCUUUGCUGACGAGUGGCGGACGGGUGAGUAAUGUCUGGGAAACUGCCUGAUGGAGGGGGAUAACUACUGGAAACGGUGGCUAAUACCGCAUAACGUCGCAAGACCAAAGAGGGGGACCUUCGGGCCUCUUGCCAUCAGAUGUGCCCAGAUGGGAUUAGCUUGUUGGUGAGGUAACGGCUCACCAAGGCGACGAUCCCUAGCUGGUCUGAGAGGAUGACCAGCCACACUGGAACUGAGACACGGUCCAGACUCCUACGGGAGGCAGCAGUGGGGAAUAUUGCACAAUGGGCGCAAGCCUGAUGCAGCCAUGCCGCGUGUAUGAAGAAGGCCUUCGGGUUGUAAAGUACUUUCAGCGGGGAGGAAGGUGUUGUGGUUAAUAACCGCAGCAAUUGACGUUACCCGCAGAAGAAGCACCGGCUAACUCCGUGCCAGCAGCCGCGGUAAUACGGAGGGUGCAAGCGUUAAUCGGAAUUACUGGGCGUAAAGCGCACGCAGGCGGUCUGUCAAGUCGGAUGUGAAAUCCCCGGGCUCAACCUGGGAACUGCAUUCGAAACUGGCAGGCUUGAGUCUUGUAGAGGGGGGUAGAAUUCCAGGUGUAGCGGUGAAAUGCGUAGAGAUCUGGAGGAAUACCGGUGGCGAAGGCGGCCCCCUGGACAAAGACUGACGCUCAGGUGCGAAAGCGUGGGGAGCAAACAGGAUUAGAUACCCUGGUAGUCCACGCCGUAAACGAUGUCUACUUGGAGGUUGUGCCCUUGAGGCGUGGCUUCCGGAGCUAACGCGUUAAGUAGACCGCCUGGGGAGUACGGCCGCAAGGUUAAAACUCAAAUGAAUUGACGGGGGCCCGCACAAGCGGUGGAGCAUGUGGUUUAAUUCGAUGCAACGCGAAGAACCUUACCUGGUCUUGACAUCCACGGAAGUUUUCAGAGAUGAGAAUGUGCCUUCGGGAACCGUGAGACAGGUGCUGCAUGGCUGUCGUCAGCUCGUGUUGUGAAAUGUUGGGUUAAGUCCCGCAACGAGCGCAACCCUUAUCCUUUGUUGCCAGCGGUCCGGCCGGGAACUCAAAGGAGACUGCCAGUGAUAAACUGGAGGAAGGUGGGGAUGACGUCAAGUCAUCAUGGCCCUUACGACCAGGGCUACACACGUGCUACAAUGGCGCAUACAAAGAGAAGCGACCUCGCGAGAGCAAGCGGACCUCAUAAAGUGCGUCGUAGUCCGGAUUGGAGUCUGCAACUCGACUCCAUGAAGUCGGAAUCGCUAGUAAUCGUGGAUCAGAAUGCCACGGUGAAUACGUUCCCGGGCCUUGUACACACCGCCCGUCACACCAUGGGAGUGGGUUGCAAAAGAAGUAGGUAGCUUAACCUUCGGGAGGGCGCUUACCACUUUGUGAUUCAUGACUGGGGUGAAGUCGUAACAAGGUAACCGUAGGGGAACCUGCGGUUGGAUCACCUCCUUACCUUAAAGAAGC
RNAcentral lists this ribosomal RNA (1552 nucleotides) under Salmonella enterica. RNAcentral describes it as "bacterial SSU rRNA". It matches the Rfam family "Bacterial small subunit ribosomal RNA". The record is from RNAcentral. Lineage: Bacteria; Pseudomonadati; Pseudomonadota; Gammaproteobacteria; Enterobacterales; Enterobacteriaceae.